RNAcentral lists this ribosomal RNA (441 nucleotides) under uncultured bacterium. Its description in RNAcentral is "partial 16S ribosomal RNA". It matches the Rfam family "Bacterial small subunit ribosomal RNA", at positions 338 to 795 of the family's 1533-position model. The record is from RNAcentral.
CCUACGGGUGGCAGCAGUCGGGAAUAUUGCUCAAUGGAGGAAACUCUGACGCAGCAACGCCGCGUGGAGGAAGAAGGUUUUCGGAUUGUAAACUCUUUUCGUUAGAGAAGAUAAAGGACUGUACCAAAGGAGGAAGCCCCGGCUAACUCUGUGCCAGCGGCCGCGGUAAUACAUAGGGGGCAAGCGUUAUCCGGAAUUAUUGGGUGUAAGGGGUGCGUAGACGGAAGAACAAGUAGGUUGUGAAAUCCCUCGGCUUAACUGAGGAACUGAAACUAAAACUAUUCUCCUUGAGUGUGGGAGAGGAAAGUGGAAUUCCUAGUGUAGGGGUGAAAUGCGUAGAGAUUAGGAGGAAUACCAGUGGCGAAGGCGACCUUCUGGAAGAUAACUGACGCUGAGGCACGAAAGCGUGGGGAGCAAACAGGAUUAGAUACCCCAGUAGUC